Molecule: ribosomal RNA, 459 nt
Filed under: uncultured bacterium
Lineage: Bacteria
Description: SSU rRNA
Rfam family: Bacterial small subunit ribosomal RNA
Source: RNAcentral
AGGACGAACGCUGGCGGCGUGCUUAACACAUGCAAGUCGAACGAGGCGCUUGCGCCUAGUGGCGAACGGGUGAGUAACACGUGAGCAACCUGCCCUUGGCUCUGGGAUAGCCUCCGGAAACGGGGAUUAAUACCGGACAUGACCUUCUCCUGCAUGGGGGAGGGUGGAAAGUUUUCGGCCAGGGAGGGCUCGCGGCCUAUCAGCUUGUUGGGGGGUAACGGCCCACCAAGGCGACGACGGGUAGCCGGCCUGAGAGGGCGACCGGCCACACUGGGACUGGGACACGGCCCAGACUCCUACGGGAGGCAGCAGUGGGGAAUAUUGCACAAUGGGGGAAACCCUGAUGCAGCGACGCCGCGUGCGGGAUGAAGGCCUUCGGGUUGUAAACCGCUUUCAGCAGGGGCGAAUUCAGACGGUACCUGCAGAAGAAGCGCCGGCUAACUACGUGCCAGCAGCCGC